UCGCUGUUUUUUGGUUUUUUUAAUGAAACAUACCCUGAAAAUGGAGCAGAAACAACAACUAUCCUUGAACUUCAAGUCAGAUGACUUAGAGGUGUUGGUAACCUCCUUCGAGAAAUCCAAAUACACAUAACGCUUAACUGGGGAGAUUAAAGAGAGAGAGUGGGCAAUAGCAGACACAGUCUCCGCCGCAUAUCUGGCAUCCAGCGGAGCGCUGAUGCUGUCAAAAAGAAAAUAAGUCCAUUUUCAGUGAUAUGAAGACACAGGAAACUGUUGUGUCCAAAGAACAGAUGAAACCGCUGGUGACUCCUCCUGUGCUCCCUCACUGACCCCGGCAGAAACCCGUAGGCUACUCUUCUCGGGAAAGUUAAUUAUGACGAUGUUCAGGAACCCAAAAGGACAACAUAACAUGGGAAAAUAACAAUUUUCAAUAGGACAAAAUGGCCUCAGUAGAGAAAAAUAAAGCAAAUCUCACCUCUUAA
Micropterus dolomieu (smallmouth bass) is the source of this 479-nucleotide long non-coding RNA. RefSeq lists it as uncharacterized. Lineage: Eukaryota; Metazoa; Chordata; Actinopteri; Centrarchiformes; Centrarchidae. The record is from RefSeq and is a predicted model, not a curated record. The transcript is spliced from 3 exons.